Molecule: long non-coding RNA, 928 nt
Organism: Mastomys coucha (southern multimammate mouse)
Lineage: Eukaryota; Metazoa; Chordata; Mammalia; Rodentia; Muridae
Exons: 2
Source: RefSeq, a predicted model, not a curated record
CCAAUGGCUGACUUCCUAAUUCAAACUAACUGAUGGAAGACUCUUGAGCAAACAGCCUUCUUUGCAAUGCUCACCUUAAGGUUCUUUCUCACCUGGAUAACACACUGGCGUUGGAGACACAUUGUCAUCAAAUGGCUUUACUUCAUUCCAGACCUCUGCCAUUGGCUAAGUUCUUCUGUGACCUCUCAGACUGACACUCAUCAGAGGCACUUUGACUACAGUCUUGCCCUGUUCUACCCAUUUUGUUUGCCAGAAAACAACCAAAGUAGCCUUUACCCCCCAGCCUCUGGGAGGGAUGAUGUGGAAAGAUUCAGAUACUCUAACAGGCAGACAGACAAGGAGUCCAAAUUUAAUAAGAUAGCAAACUUCUGGCUGCUUCUCCACCUUAGACAAAGAUUUCGUGGACUUCUAUGAUAGUUUGAAUAAGGGUGUCCCCACGUAUGCCCAUAGGAAGUGGCACUGUUAGGAGGUAUGACCUUGUUGGAGUAGAUAUGUCCUUGUUGGAACAGUGUGGCUCAGUCUUCCUUCCUGCUACCUGUCAAUCUAGAAGUAAAACUCUCAGCUUCUCCAGCACCAUGUCUGCCUGCAUACGACCAUGCUUCCCACAAUGAAGACUAAACCUCCGACUAGACCAAAACAGCAGCAAAUGGUUUUGCAAGUGUUAAUUUUAAGAGGGAAAUGGGGAAGUCUGUGUUAGGAUGAGCUAGGACACGUUGGCAAGUUCUGAUUGGGAUUAAUUAUUUUAAUUAAGAUAGUCAAAAUAAUGAGUUUUGGUUGCUGGACUUUGAUGUUUUGAGAGUUGGACCUUAGUGAUCAGUCUCAGGGAUGUGGGAAUAGACCCAAAUAAGAGAAUAGAUCUUGUUGGCCAGCUUUAGGAAUGUAAUCCAAUUAAUGGGAAAAAAAUAAAAGGAAACACUUACUAAUGUCA